GACGAACGCUGGCGGCGUGCUUAACACAUGCAAGUCGAACGGAAAGGCCCUGCUUUUGUGUGGUGCUCGAGUCGCUAACGUGUGAGUAACCCGUGAGUAACCUUCCCUUUACUUUGUGAUAACUUCAGGCAACUGGGGCUAAUACCUGAUAGGAGCUCCUGCUGCAUGGUGGUGGUUGGAAAGUUUCGGCGGUUGGGGAUGGACUCGCGGCUUAUCAGCUUGUUGGUUGGGUAGUGGCUUACCAAGGCUUUGACGGAUAGCCGGCCUGAGAGGGUGAACGGCCAAAUUGGGCCUGCGAGACGGCGCAGACUCCUACGGGAGGCAGCAGGGGGGAAUAUGGCACAAUGGGGGGAAGUCUGAUGAAGAAAUGCCGGGAGCGGGAUGAAGGCCAAGGGGUUGUAAACCGCUGUCGCCUGUGACGAAGCGUGAGUGACGGUAAUGGGUAAAGAAGCACCGGCUAACUACGUG
RNAcentral lists this ribosomal RNA (468 nucleotides) under uncultured bacterium. RNAcentral describes it as "partial 16S ribosomal RNA". It matches the Rfam family "Bacterial small subunit ribosomal RNA", at positions 28 to 507 of the family's 1533-position model. The record is from RNAcentral.